RNAcentral lists this ribosomal RNA (253 nucleotides) under uncultured bacterium. Its description in RNAcentral is "partial 16S ribosomal RNA". It matches the Rfam family "Bacterial small subunit ribosomal RNA", at positions 524 to 776 of the family's 1533-position model. The record is from RNAcentral.
UACGUAGGGUGCGAGCGUUGUCCGGAUUUAUUGGGCGUAAAGAGCUCGUAGGCGGCUCGUCGCGUCGACCGUGAAAACCCGCGGCUUAACUGCGGGCUUGCGGUUGAUACGGGCGGGCUAGAGUUCGGUAGGGGAGACUGGAAUUCCUGGUGUAGCGGUGAAAUGCGCAGAUAUCGGGAGGAACACCGGUGGCGAAGGCGGUUCUCUGGGCCUGUACUGACGCUGAGGAGCGAAAGCGUGGGGAGCGAACAGG